Molecule: ribosomal RNA, 468 nt
Filed under: uncultured bacterium
Lineage: Bacteria
Description: partial 16S ribosomal RNA
Rfam family: Bacterial small subunit ribosomal RNA
Source: RNAcentral
GACGAACGCUGGCGGCGUGCUUAACACAUGCAAGUCGAACGAACAGACCCUGCUUUUGUUGGGUGCACGAUUGGCGCACACGUGAGUGACACAUGUGUAACCUGCCCUUGACUUUGUGGUAACUUUACGAGAAACCGGAUAUUACAGGGUAUGAGCUACUGCUGCAUAGUGUGCGUUGGAAAAUUUCGGCGGUUGGGGCUGGACUAGCUGCUUAUCCGUUGGAUUGGCGGGUAGUUGAGUUACAGGGCUUUGACGGGUAGCCGGCCUGGGAGGGGGACCGGCGACAUUGGGACUGAGGUACGGCCCAGACUCGUACGGGAGGCAGCAGUGGGGAAUAUGGCACAAUGGGCGGAAGCCUGAGGCAGCAACGCCGCGUGCGGGAUGACGGCCUUCGGGGUGUAAACCGCUUUCGCCUGUGACGAAGCGUGAGUGACGGUAAUGGGUAAAGAAGCACCGGCUAACUACGUG